GGGCCGGUAGUUCAGAGGUAGAACACCCGCUUGGCGUGCGGGGGGUCGUGGGUUCGAGUCCCACCCGGUCCA
This 72-nucleotide transfer RNA is filed under the name Candidatus Bathyarchaeota archaeon. RNAcentral describes it as "tRNA-Ala". It matches the Rfam family "tRNA". Rfam says of the family: Transfer RNA (tRNA) molecules are approximately 80 nucleotides in length. Their secondary structure includes four short double-helical elements and three loops (D, anti-codon, and T loops). Further hydrogen bonds mediate the characteristic L-shaped molecular structure. tRNAs have two regions of fundamental functional importance: the anti-codon, which is responsible for specific mRNA codon recognition, and the 3' end, to which the tRNAs corresponding amino acid is attached (by aminoacyl-tRNA synthetases). tRNAs cope with the degeneracy of the genetic code in two manners: having more than one tRNA (with a specific anti-codon) for a particular amino acid; and 'wobble' base-pairing, i.e. permitting non-standard base-pairing at the 3rd anti-codon position. Lineage: Archaea; Thermoproteati; Candidatus Bathyarchaeota. The record is from RNAcentral.